GCCUGGGUGGCUCAGUUGGUUAAGCAUCUGACUUCGGCUCAGGUCAUAAUCUCACGAUUUGUGAGUUCAAGCCCCACAUCAGGCU
Felis catus (domestic cat) is the source of this 85-nucleotide transfer RNA. It matches the Rfam family "tRNA". From Rfam's summary of the family: Transfer RNA (tRNA) molecules are approximately 80 nucleotides in length. Their secondary structure includes four short double-helical elements and three loops (D, anti-codon, and T loops). NCBI's taxonomy places the organism in Eukaryota, Metazoa, Chordata, Mammalia, Carnivora, Felidae. The record is from Rfam.